Molecule: ribosomal RNA, 374 nt
Filed under: uncultured organism
Description: partial 16S ribosomal RNA
Rfam family: Bacterial small subunit ribosomal RNA
Source: RNAcentral
GGGGGGGCAAGCGUUUGUUCGGAAUUACUGGGCGUAAAGGGCGCGCAGGCGGCCUGGCCAGUCCUACGUGAAAUCCCACAGCUCAACUGUGGAAUUGCGUGGGAUACUGCCAGGCUUGAGUCCGGGAGAGGAGAGUGGAAUUCCCAGUGUAGCGGUGAAAUGCGUAGAUAUUGGGAGGAACACCGGUGGCGAAGGCGGCUCUCUGGACCGGCACUGACGCUGAGGCGCGAAAGCUAGGGGAGCAAACGGGGGAUUAGAUACCCCGGUAGUCCUAGCCCUAAACGAUGAGCACUUGGUGUGGCGGGUAUCGACCCCCUGCCGUGCCGAAGCUAACGCAUUAAGUGCUCCGCCUGGGGAGUACGGUCGCAAGGCUG